This 500-nucleotide ribosomal RNA is filed under the name uncultured bacterium. RNAcentral's name for it is "partial 16S ribosomal RNA". It matches the Rfam family "Bacterial small subunit ribosomal RNA", at positions 29 to 523 of the family's 1533-position model. The record is from RNAcentral.
AUUGAACGCUGGCGGCAUGCCUUACACAUGCAAGUCGAACGGCAGCACGGGAGCAAUCCUGGUGGCGAGUGGCGAACGGGUGAGUAAAGCAUCGGAACGUGCCCAGUCGUGGGGGAUAACGUAGCGAAAGCUACGCUAAUACCGCAUACGAUCUGUGGAUGAAAGCGGGGGACCGUAAGGCCUCGCGCGAUUGGAGCGGCCGAUGUCAGAUUAGGUAGUUGGUGAGGUAAAGGCUCACCAAGCCGACGAUCUGUAGCUGGUCUGAGAGGACGACCAGCCACACUGGGACUGAGACACGGCCCAGACUCCUACGGGAGGCAGCAGUGGGGAAUUUUGGACAAUGGGCGCAAGCCUGAUCCAGCAAUGCCGCGUGCAGGAUGAAGGCCUUCGGGUUGUAAACUGCUUUUGUACGGAGCGAAACGGCUUCCGCUAAUACUGGGGGCUAAUGACGGUACCGUAAGAAUAAGCACCGGCUAACUACGUGCCAGCAGCAGCCGCGG